This 253-nucleotide ribosomal RNA is filed under the name uncultured bacterium. Its description in RNAcentral is "partial 16S ribosomal RNA". It matches the Rfam family "Bacterial small subunit ribosomal RNA", at positions 524 to 776 of the family's 1533-position model. The record is from RNAcentral.
UACGAAGGGGGCUAGCGUUGCUCGGAAUCACUGGGCGUAAAGGGUGCGUAGGCGGGGCUUUAAGUCCGGGGUGAAAUCCUGGAGCUCAACUCCAGAACUGCCUUUGAUACUGAGGAUCUUGAGUUCGGGAGAGGUGAGUGGAACUGCGAGUGUAGAGGUGAAAUUCGUAGAUAUUCGCAAGAACACCAGUGGCGAAGGCGGCUCACUGGCCCGGUACUGACGCUGAGGUGCGAAAGCGUGGGGAGCAAACAGG